GUCAUACUUCUUGUCAACAGAAGUCAGUCGAAGAUACCCCACCUGCUCGGUAAGGCUUAGUUGGGGCAGGUCGUUGCAACCCAGGGGGACAUCCUCCCAGCCUAGCCUCACUCCCCACGAUAAGUCGGUCUCUUUUCUCAGCUCUGCCACAAGAAAACUCUCUACCCAUCCCUUUAUUGAGUCCUUGUAGCCCGUGAAAAGAGAC
RNAcentral lists this long non-coding RNA (205 nucleotides) under Manihot esculenta (cassava). RNAcentral describes it as "long non-coding RNA (MESC_LNC003429)". Lineage: Eukaryota; Viridiplantae; Streptophyta; Magnoliopsida; Malpighiales; Euphorbiaceae. The record is from RNAcentral.